RNAcentral lists this ribosomal RNA (253 nucleotides) under uncultured bacterium. RNAcentral describes it as "partial 16S ribosomal RNA". It matches the Rfam family "Bacterial small subunit ribosomal RNA", at positions 524 to 776 of the family's 1533-position model. The record is from RNAcentral.
UACGAAGGGGGCUAGCGUUGUUCGGAUUUACUGGGCGUAAAGCGCACGUAGGCGGACUUUUAAGUCAGAGGUGAAAUCCCAAGGCUCAACCUUGGAACUGCCUUUGAUACUGGAAGUCUUGAGUAUGGUAGAGGUUGGUGGAACUGCGAGUGUAGAGGUGAAAUUCGUAGAUAUUCGCAAGAACACCAGUGGCGAAGGCGGCCAACUGGACCAUUACUGACGCUGAGGUGCGAAAGCGUGGGGAGCAAACAGG